Molecule: RNA transcript, 2628 nt
Organism: Solenopsis invicta (red fire ant)
Lineage: Eukaryota; Metazoa; Arthropoda; Insecta; Hymenoptera; Formicidae
Exons: 3
Source: RefSeq, a predicted model, not a curated record
GAGAGAGAGAGAGAGAGAGAGAGAUGCCGUAGAAACGAGAGAAAGCAGAGACUCGGCGAACGAUGGGAUAACCCCGUGAGUGGUCAAAGGCGUCGGAGCGAGACGGCUGGCGGUCGCGACGAGGGGGAUGAAAUAGCUCACGGGAGCUAAAGGUGUCGUAAUGAAGCUCUGCGAGGAUGAAGGAUAAAGUGAGAUGGCGAAUAAAUGGAAGGGGUGGCAGGGAGAACGACAAGGACAGAGUAUAGAUCAUCGGUAGGAAAAAGACGGAGAAUCAGUCUCCGGGGAAGGAAAGGGGAGAGAAAGAGAGAGAUAGAAAAAGAAAAAGAUGUAGGACGACGCCGUGAGAGAAAAAAGGAAAGGACGCCGAGGGUUGGAAGGAAAAUAGAGAAGGAUUGUCACGCUCGCCAUUCUGGUGGGGAUGAAGGUGGUGGGGUGACGUAGAGCAGUGCGAAAUAGGGGGGAGAGAGAGAGAAAGAGAGAGAGCAAAAGGUGAGAACGAAGAUAGAACGGAGGUAGCGAGGAGGGGUUGAAACGCGUAGGGACACAGAGCCAUAAGAGGGUUGAUGGCGGCCGGGGUUGGCCCCAGUAGCACAGUCGCGCGCCAAACUCCCGUAAGAAAGCACGUAACCGGUGGUUCGAACGCUCUCUCGCGCAACCCGCACCUCAUGUCGACGGACGGAUUUCUUUUUUUUUUUUUCAACGACGACGGGUUCGAAGGUUCAUGCCGCUAACCCGCCACCUCCAUCACUGCGCACCUUCGCGCCCACAUCCGAGGAAGUUGAUACUACCUGUGACUAUCGUUGGGGCCGGUGACUCAGGACACAACCGGGUUUUUUUUUCUUCUGAAAAGACUAAAGUCUCAUCGUGGGACGCUCGAGACGAUCGAAGUGGAAGGAUGGAUUUAACAGGCGGGUACAAGGCACAGCGAUUAUCCACAAGUAGUCAAUGGCCGACUUUACACCGGCACGGCGUAGUUCGUACCAGGCGGGGUUUAAUAUCGCCGAGCUGGCUCGCUUGCGGCGAUGUUGUCACUUCUGCAGGCUUCUACCCGGCUGGCAAGUAUCUUAAUCUUUAAUUAUCGCCCCUCACCGUUCUUAAUUACGCCGUAAUUGUAGUUAGAUAGCGUAUCAGUGUCCUGCGGAAAAAGUUUGACGGCGGACGCCCGUCGAUGAUGUCGGCGUGAACGACGUCAAUUCCAAGACGUCCAAUUAUCAGGGACUGAUUAUCGGGCCGGUGAAUAUAUAGGAAAGAGCUAAGGAGGUGAAAGAGGGAGUAGACGAUACGGAUAGAAAGAGAAAUGAGAAUGAACGAGCCUCGCCCUCUUCCUGCAGUGAAUCUCGCGCAAGUAAUGGGUACCUGAAAUAUCGAGCAAUUCCGAUAGACAACGGUUGUCCCUGGUGUGAACGUAAUUACAACCAAGACAAGAAGGGUACAUGGUGACAGCUUACAUGUAAAUUGCUGCUUAGAGCGUCGAUCGUGCCCAACUUUCUAUCUUGCCGGCUAGAUUAGAAAAAGUAAGGAGCCUCUUACGCGCUUGACUGGUCACGAGUCACCGUGAAGAAAAGGGGAUUGAAGGGGAAGAAGAGAGGCUGGAGAUGGUUCGCAGGCGUAAAAGAGGAUGCAACGAGAGGCCGAGCUUCGAGGUAAAUAAGGCGAACAAAGAAAGGGAGAGCGACAAAGAGAGGAGGGUACAUAGAGCGAACGAGAAUGGAGGACGGCUCGAAGCACGCUAAUUCGUUGCCGGGCCGAUAAUCAAGCGGAAUAACGAUCGAUCUCGCAGCCACUCCACCUAAUCUUGCGCGUCUGUCGAAAUAAGGAGGGAUAGAGCAACGAGAGGGCAACGAGCGGCCUUUCUGCGCACUAACGUUCGUAAUUAGUACCCUGUCGUCCGCACGGAGCGUGAAAUAACACGCGUAAAAUAUAAUCGCGCCCUCAUCGAAUACGUAAAACGGAUACAGAGUAGUAAUCCUGAUUCUUGCAGCGUUUCUUAAUAAUUAAACGUGAAUUAUAUUCAUGAAUUAUAUAUUAGAUGAGCGACAGAUCUAAAUCUAAAGAUAAACUUUUAUAAAGUAAAAAUCUUAUAUGUCGCGUUUGAGGAGGAACGUCACUUGACGAUUUUGCAAACAUUUCUUUAACUGAAUACCGACUACGGAGGAGCUGGCGAGACUCCAAGCUGAUACGCAUGGGUGAAUACAUAACGUGGCGGAAGAGACGCGUGUUAUUGAUGUGAACAUUCGAAUAAAUCACAGCAUUUAAAAACAGAGUGUUCACUUCUUUAUCGGGUCUAUCACAUUUCUACAAAAUUUCUACAAAAGUUCAGCGAAUGUGAAAAAUCCUUUUUGUGCUAAAAAAAUAGAAUAAAUAGUUUAUUCUAGCGUGAAUAUAUUUGAAUGUAGUAUAUGUUCGAGUGUUAGAUUAUAUAAAUAAAAAAACAAAAAAUUGCGCAACAUAUCAAUUUUUUCGUCUAACGUCAAGUGUGAAAUUUCAGUGAUUCACAGAAAAUAAAUUUAAAAAUGCCGAUAAAAACACAACGUACUCGAAAACAAUCUCGAUACACGUAUCUCAAAGGUAUCUCUGAUAAAAUAUCUUUGAAACUUUUAUGUUUAAUAAAAGACAUUGUUCCAAAGA